This 440-nucleotide ribosomal RNA is filed under the name uncultured bacterium. RNAcentral's name for it is "partial 16S ribosomal RNA". It matches the Rfam family "Bacterial small subunit ribosomal RNA", at positions 338 to 795 of the family's 1533-position model. The record is from RNAcentral.
CCUACGGGGGGCAGCAGUGGGGAAUAUUGCACAAUGGGGGACACCCUGCUGCAGCGACGCCGCGUGAGUGAAGAAGUAUUUCGGUACGUAAAGCUCUAUCAGCAGGGAAGAAAAUGACGGUACCUGACUAAGAAGCCCCGGCUAACUACGUGCCAGCAGCCGCGGUAAUACGUAGGGGGCAAGCGUUAUCCGGAUUUACUGGGUGUAAAGGGAGCGUAGACGGCAGCGCAAGUCUGGAGUGAAAUCCCAUGGCUUAACCAUGGAACUGCUUUGGAAACUGUGCAGCUAGAGUGCAGGAGAGGUAAGCGGAAUUCCUAGUGUAGCGGUGAAAUGCGUAGAUAUUAGGAGGAACACCAGUGGCGAAGGCGGCUUACUGGACUGUAACUGACGUUGAGGCUCGAAAGCGUGGGGAGCAAACAGGAUUAGAUACCCUGGUAGUC